Otolemur garnettii (small-eared galago) is the source of this 346-nucleotide long non-coding RNA. RefSeq lists it as uncharacterized. The transcript has 3 exons. Lineage: Eukaryota; Metazoa; Chordata; Mammalia; Primates; Galagidae. The record is from RefSeq and is a predicted model, not a curated record.
GGCACUCUCUCACAUAGGGUGAGAGGCCCUGGGUCCUGAUGCCUGUAGAGAGCCCACCAGAACAGUCAUGUAAUCCUCCCAAUAUUCCCAAUGGUAUCUUCUCACCUUUGGGAUUAAACACAGAAUUGGAGCCAAAAUCAGGUAUGAGUGUAAAAACGGAUUUCAUCCUGCAACUCAUGUAAAUACAGCAACAUGCACAAGUAAUGGCUGGUCACCUCCUCCAAGAUGCACCUUAAAACCUUGUGAUUUUCCACUAAUAAAACAUGGACAACUAUAUGAUGAGGAUAGAUAUAGAUCACAAUUUCCAGCAGCUAUUGGAAAAUAUUUCUACUAUCACUGUGACCCC